This 253-nucleotide unclassified non-coding RNA is filed under the name uncultured Alphaproteobacteria bacterium. Its description in RNAcentral is "contains 16S-23S intergenic spacer region". It matches the Rfam family "Bacterial small subunit ribosomal RNA", at positions 524 to 776 of the family's 1533-position model. Lineage: Bacteria; Pseudomonadati; Pseudomonadota; Alphaproteobacteria. The record is from RNAcentral.
AACGUAGGACGCAAGCGUUGCUCGGAAUUACUGGGCGUAAAGCGCACGUAGGUGGAUUGUUAAGUCAGGGGUGAAAUCCCGGAGCUCAACUCCGGAACUGCCUUUGAUACUGGCGAUCUCGAGUCCGGGAGAGGUGAGUGGAACUGCGAGUGUAGAGGUGAAAUUCGUAGAUAUCCGCAAGAACACCAGUGGCGAAGGCGGCUCACUGGCCCGGUACUGACGCUGAGGUGCGAAAGCGUGGGGAGCAAACAGG